RNAcentral lists this ribosomal RNA (494 nucleotides) under uncultured bacterium. RNAcentral's name for it is "partial 16S ribosomal RNA". It matches the Rfam family "Bacterial small subunit ribosomal RNA", at positions 28 to 507 of the family's 1533-position model. The record is from RNAcentral.
GACGAACGCUGGCGGCGCGCUUAACACAUGCAAGUCGAACGGAAAGGCCUGCUUUCCCUUGUGGAUUGCGGGUACUCGAGUGGCGAACGGGUGAGUAACACGUGAGUGAUCUGCCCCCAACUUGGGUAUAAGCCUGGGAAACUGGGUCUAAUUCCCGAUAGGACUGCAGGGUGGUGCCUGUGGUGGAAAACGAUGUUCUAGUGGUUGGGGAUGAGCUCGCGGCCUAUCAGCUUGUUGGUGGGGUAAUGGGCUACCAAGGCGGCGACGGGUAGCCGGCCUGAGAGGGUGGACGGGCAACUUGGGAAUGAGAUACGGCCCAGUAUCCUACGGGAGGCAGCAGUGGGGAAUAUUGCACAAUGGGCGGAAGCCUGAUGCAGCGACGCCGCGUGGGGGAUGACGGCCUUCGGGUUGUAAACUCCUUUCGACCGCGAGGAAGCCACCUGGUUGGAGGGGUGGUGACGGUAGUGGUAGAAGAAGCACCGGCUAACUACGUG